RNAcentral lists this ribosomal RNA (1099 nucleotides) under Curvularia eragrostidis. RNAcentral's name for it is "partial large subunit ribosomal RNA". The stretch from base 192 to 1099 matches the Rfam family "Eukaryotic large subunit ribosomal RNA", at positions 1 to 925 of the family's 3401-position model. Lineage: Eukaryota; Fungi; Ascomycota; Dothideomycetes; Pleosporales; Pleosporaceae. The record is from RNAcentral.
CGCUAUCAGCUAAAUGAUAGGAGGGGAACGGCACGCCUCUCUCCAUCUGAGUUAGGAUAGUUUAGAUCAGGCCUUCUGGCCCGAAAAAUGAUCUAUCUGAUAUAGGAAAGCCAGAGAAACUCUGUUGAGCUCGCAGCGUUCGAUGUGCAAAUCGAUCGUCAAAUUGGCAUAGGGCGAAAGACUAAUCGAACUAUCUAGUAGCUUGUUACUCUUACCCUGCCUGAACUUAAGCAUAUCAAUAAGCGGAGAAAAGAAACCAACAGGGAUUGCCCUAGUAACGGCGAGUGAAGCGGCAACAGCUCAAAUUUGAAAUCUGGCUCUUUCAGAGUCCGAGUUGUAAUUUGCAGAGGGCGCUUUGGGCUUUGGCAGCGGUCCAAGUUCCUUGGAACAGGACGUCACAGAGGGUGAGAAUCCCGUACGUGGUCGCUAGCUAUUGCCGUGUAAAGCCCCUUCGACGAGUCGAGUUGUUUGGGAAUGCAGCUCUAAAUGGGAGGUAAAUUUCUUCUAAAGCUAAAUAUUGGCCAGAGACCGAUAGCGCACAAGUAGAGUGAUCGAAAGAUGAAAAGCACUUUGGAAAGAGAGUCAAACAGCACGUGAAAUUGUUGAAAGGGAAGCGCUUGCAGCCAGACUUGCUUGCAGUUGCUCAUCCGGGCUUUUGCCCGGUGCACUCUUCUGCAGGCAGGCCAGCAUCAGUUUGGGCGGUGGGAUAAAGGUCUCUGUCACGUACCUCUCUUCGGGGAGGACUUAUAGGGGAGGCGACAUACCACCAGCCUGGACUGAGGUCCGCGCAUCUGCUAGGAUGCUGGCGUAAUGGCUGUAAGCGGCCCGUCUUGAAACACGGACCAAGGAGUCUAACAUCUAUGCGAGUGUUUGGGUGUCAAGCCCGAGCGCGUAAUGAAAGUGAACGGAGGUGGGAACCCGCAAGGGCGCACCAUCGACCGAUCCUGAAGUUUACGGAAGGAUUUGAGUAAGAGCAUGGCUGUUGGGACCCGAAAGAUGGUGAACUAUGCUUGAAUAGGGUGAAGCCAGAGGAAACUCUGGUGGAGGCUCGCAGCGGUUCUGACGUGCAAAUCGAUCGUCAAAUUUGGGCAUAGGGGCG